CCUUCGGGUGGCAGCAGUGAGGAAUAUUGGUCAAUGGGCGCGAGCCUGAACCAGCCAAGUAGCGUGAAGGAUGACUGCCCUACGGGUUGUAAACUUCUUUUAUAAAGGAAUAAAGUGAGGCACGUGUGCCUUUCUGUGUGUACUUUAUGAAUAAGGAUCGGCUAACUCCGUGCCAGCAGCCGCGGUAAUACGGAGGAUCCGAGCGUUAUCCGGAUUUAUUGGGCGUAAAGGGAGCGCAGGCGGUCUUUUAAGUCUGCUGUGAAAGCCGUGGGCUUAACCGGAGGAGUGCAUUGGAAACUGGGAGACUUGAGUGGAGGAGAGGAGGGUGGAACGCGAUGUGUAGCGGUGAAAUGCGUAGAUAUUGCGCAGAACUCCGAUUGCGAAGGCAGCAUACCGGCGGCGAUCUGACGCUGAGGCACGAAAGCGUGGGUAUCGAACAGGAUUAGAUACCCGGGUAGUC
RNAcentral lists this ribosomal RNA (460 nucleotides) under uncultured bacterium. Its description in RNAcentral is "partial 16S ribosomal RNA". It matches the Rfam family "Bacterial small subunit ribosomal RNA", at positions 338 to 795 of the family's 1533-position model. The record is from RNAcentral.